AAGCUGAAGGCAUAAAAGGCAGAGACGGGGAGGCACGAGGCUCUCUCCUCUCCCAGCUGGUGCCUGUGGCGUUGCAAGCAGUAUUAUCUCAAUACAGUGUGUUAAGUGUGAAUAACGAAUUAAAGAGGAAAGGAAAUCAACAUGGCCCCCGCACAGCGACACACCUGCUUCACGUACAGUGCCAGUCAGCUCGCCACAGUCUCUGAAGAUGACACUUGUCAUCAGGUUAAGAUGGACGUAAGCGACUUCGUAAAUAGAGGCGUGAGAGUUGAUGUGGUAGAUGGUAACGAGUUAGUGGUGGAAGUGAGCAACGAGGACGAGGUAAACUCCUCGGCUUUCCACCACAACUGGAGACGUCGCUUCUCCUUCCCUGGCCUUCAAAAGAUAGAGAGCAUGACGUCUACUAUGUCUCCUGAUGGGAUCCUCACUAUCACCGUACCCAAGACGUUUGCGUCGCUGUGACGUGAACACAACCGUGCUGUGAUGACCAGCGUAAAUGAAUACACCAGCAAGGUAACAAAAGUCCACUAAGGUGAAGGCAAGAAUGAAGGCAUCUUGGAGAGCAAGACAAAGACUAAACCCCAGCUGAAGUUUAUGUAGUGUUUAAAAAUCCAACAAAGCCUUAAAUCAUCGUUUUCAAUCAACGUGAUGGACGUGGACGCCGUCACCUUUGUCAGCUGGCGUCCUCUAUAUCAAUGCUCCUUACAGGUGAUCGGACGCUAACCUGUAAGCAAGUCGAUUGACUUUGAUGAUAUGGGAGAGAACAAUAUAACUUCAUACACUCGAAAGUAAUAUUGGAGAGUGUUUUGUAUUCCAGGAGAGGACACAAUAUCAUCAGGAAACAGACGUGGUGCAUACCAACUGCAAAAGCAAUUGGAGCUAUCCUCUCUUGUAUUAAACCGAUACCUCUCGGUUCCCAGGUUCUCCAUUUCUCCUACUUGUCUAGCACUGUCUCGUAAUAAUCAUUGCAGAAGUCAAGAAUAAAGUUCUGUGAAGACAAGUGUGAUGGACACACCUCACUCCACCAUUCCCUCAUCCCGUCAGCAUCUGGUUUUCUUCAACAUCUUCCUGAAGAAAUCUUUGCUGGAUGUAAAAGAAAAACCAAUCCAGUGAGUUGGCAGACCAGUGGUUUGGUAUUAGUGUGCGUGGGUAAGUCUGAAUUUCCACUCGUGCGCAGUGUCGUACUGCGCAGCUCAGACAUAACCGAACCUUGUGGUACAAUGUUAUAUAUAUAAAAAUUAUCAAUAUAUAAAAAGUAUCAUAAGAUAUAAUGGGACCCUGAAACAUAUACGCUAAUACGAAAUUUCUAAAAUAAACAAUAAACAUACAACAAUGA
Cherax quadricarinatus is the source of this 1336-nucleotide RNA transcript. RefSeq lists it as uncharacterized. NCBI's taxonomy places the organism in Eukaryota, Metazoa, Arthropoda, Malacostraca, Decapoda, Parastacidae. The record is from RefSeq and is a predicted model, not a curated record.